GCUUUUCUCCAACUGCAACUCCAUGGGGGCUGUGGGUGGCACUACUUCUAUAAUACUUUCUCUUACACGGUCAUGCGUUUGUGUUAGUGCAUUAAACUGCUGGAUUUGCUUAAUGAGUGCCUGGUGAUAAUACAGCCACAGAAUGAGAGGGGUCUUAUUCCAUUUGCUUCUGCAGAUCACAGGUCCACUCCACAGGCAGGAAAAGCCAACAGGGUUUCCUACUAGACAGGAGGAGGGAGGCCAACCCCAAGGGAAGCCAUGCCACAGUGAUUACUGAAAUGGGACCAAUCCCGGUCGAUGACCAGCCCUGAAGGUGAGACACCUGCAGAAGCUGAAGAGUGUGGCGCACCUGCUGGCCCUUCCUGAUAGAGCCACACGGGACUCAGCCUGGAGCAGCCUCUGGCUACAGCAUCCUUUCAAUAUAAAAUACCAAUGGGGAAGAAAUGGGAGGAUGAAGAUGGCUGAGAAUGUGAAGAAGUUGAAGGAGAAGAGGCAUGCCGGUUUCUACGUGGAAGGAGAGCCUGGACUCCAUCAAAGGCAUUCAUUUGGGAAAGAGGAAAGCAUAGCAAGACAUCUCCAGCUUCCUCCUCCAGCUUCCCCAACUCAAUAACGGCUGCUACAUGGCAGCCUGCCCUCACGUGGAGCAAGUGGUGAACCUUUUAUAAGACAUUCUUGUCUUCUGAAUCCAGAAGAUGCUGCCAGAAAUGAGUGCGACUGCGCAUGAUGUUAGAUACAAUAGACAAUAAAUGCCAAAUGACCAAAGUCACAGGUUUACAGAGUUCUCCUCCAGAAGCACAUGUAAUGAAUGAAAACACGCUGUUAGACAUGCUGACUCACUGGGACACGUGAGUUCGAAAAUGUAUCUAGCAGGAGAUGUUCCAGCCAUAUGCAACAGUGGAUGAGAACCACGGCUGGCUUCCCCUCGGAAAAUGAGUGUGCACCACACUGCAAUCUGCGCUGGCUCUAAGUCACAUGCUCAGUAAGCUGCUGCUUAAGGCAGACUCAGCUGGAAACUCUUCCCCUGGCAGCCAGCAGAGAGGUGGCUUCUGCAUUGCAGUCCCACCUGCUGGGUCCUUACUCUGGGUCUUUGCCUUCUCCUCCCCCUGAGAUCCAGUGCUGCUCUUCCUGAGGUGACAUGGGGACUACCAUGUACCACAGGGCUCCCAGACAGUAGUAACCACCCAGGCCAUUGC
Molecule: long non-coding RNA, 1193 nt
Filed under: Mus caroli (Ryukyu mouse)
Lineage: Eukaryota; Metazoa; Chordata; Mammalia; Rodentia; Muridae
Description: predicted gene 16152 (MGP_CAROLIEiJ_G0002321.1)
Source: RNAcentral